RNAcentral lists this ribosomal RNA (506 nucleotides) under uncultured bacterium. RNAcentral describes it as "partial 16S ribosomal RNA". It matches the Rfam family "Bacterial small subunit ribosomal RNA", at positions 30 to 523 of the family's 1533-position model. The record is from RNAcentral.
AUUGAACGCUGGCGGCAGGCCUAACACAUGCAAGUCGAACGGUAGCACAGAGGAGCUCGCUCCUUGGGUGACGAGUGGCGGACGGGUGAGUAAUGUCUGGGAAACUGCCCGAUGGAGGGGGAUAACUACUGGAAACGGUAGCUAAUACCGCAUAACGUCUUCGGACCAAAGUGGGGGACCUUCGGGCCUCACACCAUCGGAUGUGCCCAGAUGGGAUUAGCUAGUAGGUGGGGUAAUGGCUCACCUAGGCGACGAUCCCUAGCUGGUCUGAGAGGAUGACCAGCCACACUGGAACUGAGACACGGUCCAGACUCCUACGGGAGGCAGCAGUGGGGAAUAUUGCACAAUGGGCGCAAGCCUGAUGCAGCCAUGCCGCGUGUAUGAAGAAGGCCUUCGGGUUGUAAAGUACUUUCAGCGGGGAGGAAGGCGUUAAGGUUAAUAACCUUGGCGAUUGACGUUACCCGCAGAAGAAGCACCGGCUAACUCCGUGCCAGCCGCCGCUGUAA